AGGACGAACGCUGGCGGCGUGCUUAACACAUGCAAGUCGAGCGAGGCCCGUCCUUCGGGACGGUGCCCUAGCGGCGAACGGGUGAGUAACACGUGGGCAACCUGCCCCUAGCACUGGGAUAACUCCGGGAAACCGGGGCUAAUACCGGAUAUGACCUUUGAGGGCAUCCUCGAAGGUGUAAAGGAUUCUGGCUAGGGAUGGGCCCGCGGCCUAUCAGCUUGUUGGUGGGGUAAUGGCCUACCAAGGCGACGACGGGUAGCCGGCCUGAGAGGGCGACCGGCCACACUGGGACUGAGACACGGCCCAGACUCCUACGGGAGGCAGCAGUGGGGAAUAUUGCACAAUGGGCGAAAGCCUGAUGCAGCGACGCCGCGUGAGGGAUGACGGCCUUCGGGUUGUAAACCUCUUUCAGCAGGGACGAAGCGAAAGUGACGGUACCUGCAGAGAAGCACCGGCCAACUACGCGCCAGCAGCCGC
RNAcentral lists this ribosomal RNA (477 nucleotides) under uncultured bacterium. Its description in RNAcentral is "SSU rRNA". It matches the Rfam family "Bacterial small subunit ribosomal RNA", at positions 26 to 518 of the family's 1533-position model. The record is from RNAcentral.